GAGAGAGAGAGAGGGACUUUCCGAUGCAUAAGCAGCUCUCAUACUGAGCUGCGCAAACAGAACACACUGGGAGACAGAACAGAUCUGUUCUGACAAAGAAGCAUCUGACUUGUUCUUGGAGAUAAUCUUGACAAGGAAAGGGAUGGUUCGAUUCUCUCUUCAUAUGCAAACUGCUUCAUAGAAACAAAUUUUUUAUUACCUGAAUUGGCAUUUUAAACCUGGCAGUAUUGCAAACGAAGAUCUCCAUCAUGUUCCUUCUAGUUGCUUAUCUUGCAAUCCACUUUGCAUUAUCAAUUGCAUUAAGUAAUAAAAGCCUAGACCUCCUAGAAAAUCUGACUUAUCUAAAUCCACCGACGGACUUUAAGAUUGUAGAUGAACAGCUUGGAGAACUGACAUUCUCUUGGAGUAGCAACCUCAGUGAAGAAAUACAGAGUCGAUUUCAAGUUAAAUAUGAGUUUGAAUAUAAAUACUUUGAUACGGACCUUUGGGAAAGUGGGGGCAGAGAAUUAGUACCGGAACAUGAAAACACAUUUGAAUUACACAGGGGUGUUUACUUACGAAUUAAAAAUGUGCUCCAAAUAAAUGAAAAUGAGUUCAGAGAAAGCAAAUGGACUACAAAGAAGAUACAAUUACCAGGUGAUCCAGAAACAUUAGCUUACAACUUUUCAUGUGUUUUGUAUGAUCACUCGAACAUGACUUGUAGAUGGUAUCCUGGCAACAACGUUCCGAAUGGCACACAAUAUAAAAUGUAUUACAGACAGUAUGGCACCACCAGGGAAUGUGCUCACUACUUUACAGACUUGCAAGGGAGACAAAGUUGCCAUACUGGUAAAGAUAUGGUUGAUCCUGAGGAGGAUAUCCUAAUAUGUGUCAAUGGAUCAAAUAAUUCUUCAUCAAUUAUGCCAUAUUACACAAAGUUUGAUCCACAGCAGUUUGAGAAGUACAAUCCACCACGCAAUGUUGAAAUCUUUCCAAAUCUGACUGUAAAAUGGAAAAGUCUCCAGGCAACUCUGUUCGUAAAAGUAGUUGCUUUGAAUAUCAAUUGCAACUCAUGGAAUUGACCGAGAAUAACAUUAAGUUGUUCCAUGUGAAAGCUGACACCAAAUUUAUUCUGAUGAAUAUUAACUUAUCUAAACGUUACUCAGUGAAAGUGCGAACAAAGCUAAAGUAUUGCAAGGAAACCAGAUACUGGAGUGACUGGAGCAAUGAAGCAUUUAUUGAACCCAAGGGGAUGCUUAAAGUACGGGUAAUGGUAUUUAUAUUUCUUCUGAUCGUUGUCGGGGCAGGGCUGCUUCUCAGAAUAAUUUUCAGAAGGUACAAAAUCAUUACAUUCAGACCAGUCCCUGAUCCCCAGAAGAAGUUCAAAGAAUUGUUUGAGGAAUACAAUGGUGAUUUUCAGAAAUGGCUUGGCUAUCAGAUACCAAUCUCUAAAUAUGAAGAGUGUUACACAGUUGUCAUUGAAGAAAGCAUCAGACCUGAAGCACCAGUUAAGAAAUGUACUUCUUCCAUCGCCACAGACCUUCGCGCACCUCAAGAGUAUCAUGUGAUCCAUAACAAGGGUAUCAUGUGAUCAAAACAAAUCAACCAGAAUUUUUAAUUACCUUCUUUGCCUUACCUUUUAUAACCCUGAGGCACGGUUUCAACCAGAAACAUCGACAAUUCCUUUUCCCCCCACAAUCUGCUACUCAACCCGCUGAUUUCCUCCAGCAGAUUGUUUGAUGUUUAAUAUAAACAAUUGUCAUUGUCAAUCAAGAUUCCUCGUGAACACUCCUGUUGAAAGCUCACUGACCCGAAACAUUAACUCAUUUUUUUCUCUGAAGUGUCACCUGGAUUGUUGAGUAACUUCAGCAUUGCAAAUGAUUCUAUUUAAGUUUCAACUCUGCCAACCAUAAAAUGAAUAGAGAAGACAUUUCAAGUACAUCACCUACAUUUGUUGAAACUGAGCCUCAUUCCUUCAGAUAAGACUUUUAUACUUGCUCACUUUGUGUGGUCCCUGAUAUAUCAUACCCACCAGUAGAUAAUGAAUAAAUAACAGUGCGGAUUAAUAAGUUAUUUUGCAUUAUGUCAGUUUGAAAUACAGGGCACGCAUUGCUAAAGAAUUGUUAAAAUAGGUAAGGAAAUAAUGAAACAGAGCAAAUAAUGUGAAUAUAAUUCUAACUAUUCUUAUUUUUUUUACUACAGUGUUGUGUAUAUUUUUAGGUUUAUAUUGUAUGAAAUGUGAGACUGUUGUUCAAGAAAAGUGAACUAGUUAGCCUAACAUCUUGUGCAGAGAAACUACUGGGGUAUAUAACUAGGGAUAUGCAUACUGUAAGAUUUCAACUGCUCAGGGAGAGUCAGCGUGGAUUUCUGAGGAGAAGGUCACACCGAUGAACGCAAUUGGAUUGUUGGAAAUGGUAGUGAUGGUGGUGGACAUGGGAUUCUGUGGAUAUUAUAUAGACUUCUUCAAGUCCCUCAUAAGAGAUCGUUAAAGUCAUGAAAUUAAAGGCAAAUCAUUUGCCUGAUUAGGAGAUUAGCCCAACAGCAGAAUAGAGGGAGCAGGAAAAAUGAAUAGGUGCUUUAAUUAAGCUCCAAAUCUGCAGGUUGUGACCAGUCACGAUCCACAUUGAUCUGUGCAGGGACCUCAACUAAUCAUGGUAUUUAUUAUUGGCUUAGACAACAGGCUAGAGAGAGAUAUAUAUCCAAGGCUGCUAUAACAUGAAGAAAGGUGAUAGUAUAAAGGUAAGCAUUAAAUUACAAAGAAAUAUUCUUCUUCUUAGCUACUGCCUCAGAGUCAAGGGUAACCUGUUUCCAGUCCAGUUGCAUUGGUUCUGAAGUGAUUGAAGAGUCCUAUGCAGAAUUCACAGACUUUACCAUAGAUGGGGUAGGUGGUGCUUGACAGGGUGCGUGACGAUGUUGUGCACUCCUUCUAUUGUUUCUACAUGGCCUCCCCGUGCUCUUGUCAUUGAAACUCAACAACCUCCGUGCCUUCGGUAUUGAAUCUCUGGAAUUCUCUGCCCCUGAGGGUGGUGGAGGAGGCCAGAUCAUUAGAUGUAUUUGAGGUGGAGAUAGAUAAAUAUUUGAAAGAUCAAGGGAUUGAGAGUUAUGGUGAACUGGUACAGAAGAGGAGUUGAGGCCAGCAUAUAUCAGUCAUGAUCAUAUUGAACGGCAGGACAGGUUUAAGGGGCCUAGUGACCUCGUCCUGCUCCUAUUUUCUUGUGUUUUUGUGUGGCCCUGCUCUAUUUUGAACAGAAAUAGGCCAAUGCUUUCCAAGAGUUGGUGAGGGUGUCCUAUCUUUGUUUCAUGGAGAUCUAAGAACAUCCUUAAAGCAUUUACUCUGUCCUCCUGGUAAUUUCUGACUGUGACAGGGUUCAGAGUAGGGUCCUUAUUUUGGGAGUCCAGUAUCACCAUUGCAGACAAUGUGGCUCAUCCACUGGACGUGAUUAAGCACAAUAAGAGACAAAUGCAGGGCAUGUUGGCCUGGGAGGGAACAAUGGCUUUGGUUUACCUAUCCUUCGAAUGGAUUUGGAAAAUGUUGUGCAGACACCAUUGGUUGCAUUUCUCCAGGUGCUGGCUAAGGAUUAUCCAUGGAGUUCAGGAGGUCAGAGAUUGCUACAGAUCCGUACAAUUUGAUGUUACUGCAGGACUUGUGGUCUUUGACUUUGGAACCCCUUUCUCCUCAGUUGGCUGAAGGGUAAGCUGCUCUGAUGGAAGCAGUGGCAGCUAGAAGGUGACCCAUGUUUUUUCAGGGUUGUACAGUGUGUUUUGAUUGUCAAGAGUUAGUAAUCUAAGUGAGGACAGGUUGCUUUCCUGGAGGUUUUGUGUUAGGUCCAUCUCUUCGUAUACUCAGUAAUGAAAUCAACAAUGAUUUGGAGCUUAAUUUAGGAAAUGUACAAUAUGCAACAAUAAUUUAAUGACUGAGGUUGGGAUGAUCUGAGUUUUAGGGUUGAGCCAAUGAUGGUUUUCUACUUGUUCUGUAGACUGAGUCCAUUCCAGCUGCAAGCUUGUUGAAAACAAAAUGUCUCAUCGUAGAGAAGAAGAGUGAGAAAAGGAUUGGAGAAAUGGCACAGUUAUUCUUGACUUUAGUUUGUAUUGGGACUGGGUCUGUGGUGGACAGGUUGGUUAGAAUCAUGGCUUGCCUGUCAUUGUGUAGGAUGGUGAUCAGUUUGUGAGGACAGCCCAGUUUGAGUUGAAUUCUCCAUAACCCCUCUCUAUCGGCAGAAUCAAGGGCAUUCAUGAGGUUGGAAAAAGCAAUGUACAGUGGUUGGUGCUGUUCUCUCUCUUGUUGCUUGGUUUGAUGUGCAGUGAAGGUUAUGCCCAUUGUCUCCAUUGAUGCACAGAAUCCCAAAUAGAUCAGUGAAUGAUCACAAUAAUGGCAAAUGAAUUUCAAGUAAUCAUGUGUGACAUCUACUUCAAGCCAAGGAGGACAGUUCGAGAUUACUUUCCAAAUUCUGAGCAGCUGGAAACAAUGGAGAUCUGAAAGAGACUUGGGGGUAGGAAUAAAGUGAUUAUAUUCAGAUAGAUAGAUCAUCAACAAUCAUCGCCAGGUACAUAAAUUAAUCAACGACACUAAUGGAAACCUAAUCAUUAUGCCUCAAAGAAUGGUUUUCUGUUUGUUAGUAGUCAUCCAAAGCAGUGGGGUACUUAAUUCCAAACACUACCUCUAAAGAAGGAUAUUCAGCCUUGGAAAGAUGUGAAGCACAGAUAUGUCCAAAUUGUAUCUGUAUUCUAAGAGUUAAGUGAGAGGAGGGUAUGACAGACAAGGAUAUAUUGUUUUGGUAAUCAGAUCAUUAAGGGGCAAUUUGAUUGAAGUUUUCAAGUUGGUAAACAGAGAGAGAAAAUAUUUCCAGUGGUUGGGGAAUGUCGUGAAUGGGUCGUCGUUUAAAAAAAGAGCCAGAGCUUUCAGUAGCGAAGAUUGGAAGCAGUUGUACACAGAGGGAGGGAGGAAGCUUGGAAUUCUCUUCCACAAAUAGCUUGAUUGUUAAUUUUAAAUCCAAGAUUUGUUGACCAGAAGUAUUAAGUACUCUGGAGUAGGGUCAUUGAUCAGCCUGCAUCUCUUGAUUGGCAGAACAGGUUCACAGAUCUAAAAUGUCUCCUCCUGUCCCCAGUAUAUGUGACUGGAAUUAAUGUUCAGUCACUUGUUGGUCACCAAUCAUAGAAUUGUAGCACUGAAUCAACCAAUGGGCGAAUCACAUCUGGGUCAGGUAUUCUUUAAAAAUCACAAACAGAAACUGAAUAGUACAGUGAGUUAUCAAGCCAUCUGGACGUCACUGGUAUAAACCAGGAUUACUGGAUAAAACAUCCUCCUGUUACUUCCAUUUCUGAAGAUCAUGAGCACAUGAUUUCGAAGAUGUGGAGACACCCUUCUCUUUGUAUUUCUGCGCAUGACAUCAUUUGAUAAUAUUGCACUCUGACCCUACCACAAAGAAGCUCUAUAUUCAUUUGUGAUCUUGAGUUUAUUAUUAACUAGCUUUUCAUUACAGAAAGAGUGUUUACUUAUUAAAAAUGACAAUGUACAUUUAUUCUCUGUAAUUUUCUAAUGGUUAUUUUUGAUAUAGCGUGGACUGUUUAAACACAUUUAUCUUCUCUUUAGGUGAAAGUGUUGAUUUAAUUAUCAGUGCAUUUACUAGAUAAGAGGAGAUAUUUUUAAAGUGUUUUUCUACUAAUAUUGCAAUCAUUUUUAUUUUAUUUAGAAGAUCCUACUGUGGCAGCUUUCUUAGAUUUUGUACUUGAAUAUUUUUGUGGCGGCAUAUUUGUUAAGAUAUUAAACCUUUGAUCUGGAAAAAUGAGCUCAAAUCCCAUCAAGACAGCUGGGAAAUUUAAGUUCAAUUAAUUAAAUAAAUCUGGAAUGAAAGGCUAGUGUCAGUAGGACUAGAAAGUCACUGAUGUUCUUCACAGAAGGAAACCUGCCACCUUUACCUAGUGUGGUCAAUAUGAGACUCCAGAUCUAUCAGGUGUGUGAUUACUUUUAAAUGCUGGUUAAAUUAAGAGGCAAUUAGAAUUGAAUUAUAAAGCAGGCUUUGUAAAUGAAUGAAAACAAAUAAGUAAAAAUUCGUUAGUGAUUGCCAUUCAUCUGGUCACCAGUAAAAGUUUGCAGGCAGGCAAUGGAAUGAUUUCGACCGCAUUAAACAGUACCACAUUAAAAACUCAUUGUCACUUUUAUUUUUUUUAAAUGGCCUUUUGAACCUGCAAGUGAAGAAGUAUGAGAAGAAUGCAGAGUUUAUGCAUGAUUUGAAAUGUAGAAAUUCGCAGUCAUUUGUGAAAAUGUCAUAGUGCAUUAAAGAAGUGUUUUAUCAA
Molecule: long non-coding RNA, 6273 nt
Organism: Pristis pectinata (smalltooth sawfish)
Lineage: Eukaryota; Metazoa; Chordata; Chondrichthyes; Rhinopristiformes; Pristidae
Exons: 11
Source: RefSeq, a predicted model, not a curated record